CCUGUACCUCCCCCCGCGGUGGUAGGCUGUAGCUAGCCUGGCCCCUACUUUGAAUUUUAAAGUUGCCAUGCAUAUUUUAUUUAUUUAUGACUGAAACUAAUGUAGCUUUGCACUUUUGAGUUGUGUUUAGUCAGUCACAUUUCUUUGACUGUCUAAUUUUCUCACCUUGCUUAUUUUCAUUCCAGUGUUUCGAGACGGAGAAGGGUCGUCUAAACAAUGGGUGUACUAAAAUGGACUCGGAGGUUCAGCUACGGUGAUGCCCUUGCUCAAUGUGUAUCCACUAAUGAAGUUGUUUAUGCUCAAACCAUGAAAAGGAGCCAAGAGCAAGGCCAAAAACAUAUCAAAAGAGAAGCAACAUGCAAACUUCAUUGGUCAAGGAUGUCUCACUUAAGCCUCAUCCUUGGAAAGUCCUUGCAGAUAUUGGUUGGAUCUGGGAGAAUAGAGACCAACAAACAUGACAGAAGUGAGGUCGUUCUAGCUUAAGAAACAGAGAAGCUAAGCAGAUGGAACAUACAUAUUACACGGAGCUUUUAAUCCACUAAGUUCAGUCCCACAAGUAAUGUACAAAAUUAAACAGCUUAUGCGACAAGGCAAGGCCCCUAAAGAAGAAACGAUAGCGCAGCUGCCGAAUUCACCUUCUUUGGUCCCUAGGGAGCCCUGCUUGCAGGCAAAGAUGAAUUCAGUUUUUGUUAUGUCUGUGAUCUACUAUUUUCUUUCCUUUUUCUCGUUCAUGUUAUUGAUGGUUGUAAUCAAUCAGACUGAUCAAUGCAAUCUUUCAUGUCUUUUCCUCUUUCAA
Molecule: RNA transcript, 796 nt
Organism: Lolium rigidum
Lineage: Eukaryota; Viridiplantae; Streptophyta; Magnoliopsida; Poales; Poaceae
Exons: 4
Source: RefSeq, a predicted model, not a curated record